AUGGUCCAGAUACUGUCCCUGAUCCACAGAAAAGAUGGUAGUCUGGUUAGCAUGCCCUACAUAUCAGCAGACAUCACAAACCUAAAGGCGAAGUACCGCAGAGAGAGCAAGUUGGCUGAUAUGUAAGACACGAUUGCCUACUUCAAAGAGAAAGCAAAAGAAGAUCCCAAUUUCUUCUACAGAAUAAGACUAGACGAUGAGGACCAUGUCAGAAACAUGUAUUGGGUGGAUGGUGAAGCAAGAAGAGCCUACAAGCAUUUUCGUGAUUGCAUUUCUUUCGACGCGACACAUCUCACGAAUAUGUAUAAGAUGCCAUGA
Molecule: ribosomal RNA, 318 nt
Filed under: Triticum aestivum (bread wheat)
Lineage: Eukaryota; Viridiplantae; Streptophyta; Magnoliopsida; Poales; Poaceae
Description: partial small subunit ribosomal RNA
Source: RNAcentral